UUUUUUUUUUUUUUUAAGCCAUGUUAUGGUCUAGACUCUAAAGAGAUUCUAUUUUUCUUUCUAAAAUAUACCAGAUUUUUCAUACAAAAGAGAAAGCAAGUGGUAUUAAUCAGGGACCAGGCUUGUGAGUUUUCUGAAAGGAAUGCAGACCAGGUGGGAAAUGGGCUUCAGUUUCCUCUUUUUUUUUUUUUUUUUGGCCACUCCACGGGUAUGCGGAAGUGCUGAGGCCAGGAAUUGAACUUGUGCCACAGCGGUGACAAUGCCGGAUCCUUAACCUGCUGAGUCUUCGGUCUCCUCAUUUUUAAAGCAAAAGAUUUGAGCAAAAUGGCUUUAGGGUUUCUUCUGGCUGUAGCUCUUCUUGGACACUUUGUCACCUACACCAAAGCUUGUGCAGGUUCACAUGGAGAUUCAUCUUAUUUCCCUUGCUCAUGUACGGAGGUGAUAUGUGAUGUCCGCAGUUGACAGACGGCCGUCUCUCUGAUGAGAUUCUCUUUGGAGUUAGACUAAAGAGAGAGGGUUUUAGGAUUUGGAGCAUAAUCUAGCACUCACAAGUGACACCUUCUUUCUGUUUCUGUUGUGGUCUCUGUAGUUGCUGCCCAGGUCUGCAUUCAUGUUAAUAAUCAUUAUAAUUGUAAUACUAAUAAAAUCAAGGAGGAAUCCUCUCCCUCCCGCCUUACUUUCAUCUCCACUCCGUCAUUAAUUUUCUUAACUUCCUAUCUCACCUCAUACAACAAUGAACACUUUCCAAUUUACCGAAACAGUUGUUCUGUAGAAGACCAGCGCGCUCCAGUGACUCAGUAUCGUUAUAUCUUCAUCAGCCCCGAAAGAAGAGUGUGCUGGCGUGUGUUUGUGUGCGUGCCCGCCCAUCCACGCCGAGUUGAGAAACACGAGUUAGGCGCAGGAAUGAUGAGACGGUUGGGCUUCAAAGAGAACAUUUGUAGAUUCUAUCUGGAACACAUUUUAUUAAAAUUGCAGCAAACUUUAUAAAAUCAGAUGUAUGGUUCAUUAAGGGAACAUUACCUUACAAUUAUGAUUAAUUAGAUUAAACUUAUGAAAGUGUGUUAUUUGUUCAAAUCAAAAGGGUGGGGGAAGAUGAUGGAUGAUGAAAGAGUGUGAUAAAUGAAGAAAGCAGCCGAACUAAAUUGAAUGUGUAUUCAUCCGUUUUCACUUCAUAACUAAUGAUAAAUUGAGCAUGUCACACUUAACAAUACACGUCUGGGAGCAAGCCCACGGUUUCAGCGCCUGUUCGCUAAUGCCUUGUGAUAGGUAGUUGAGACCAAAGAAGUGAAAUUUUAGCCCUUGGACUUUUGUCUGCUUGCAUCUUUCCUUGGAAAACACAGUGGAUGCUUACUAACUGAAUGAAAAUAAGGGACAGAAUUUAAGUUUUUACGUAAGAGAAAAACCGUGCUUCCAACUCUCUUCGUUUCCCCCCCAGAGGGAGGUCCCCCCCCGUUUUCAGGCUGGGUCAGGUGGCAGAGGUGGAAGCACCCAGGGCUGCGGGAACGUCUUUCCCUUUCCCUUCUCCAGCGCAGCCGUGUUUACCUUGGCAAGUGAUUGGAAGAAACACCCUGAGAAGCUCAUUAGACAGUCUGGGAAAUUUGGAAGUGCGGGGUAAACCUUAGACAGUUUACAUCAGUUUCCUGAAAUAAGUUCUCCUAUAUUUUAAAAUCACAUUGUAGCCUCUCAAGGACCAUCUGAGAUUUACAGAACUGGUGUGGGGGUCACACCAACUGGGAGAAAGUGUGUGGAAAUAUUUCCAGUCAGACUGAAAUUAGAGGUUUGUCGCAGAGAGUCAGGCGUGGUUAUAAGAAGAAUCCCCUUUUGCUAAAAAAAAGUUCAGAAGGGUAAGGCUAUAGGGUCUGACACACGAGCAGUAUUUCCCUGCUCUUUAGUUCUCAUUGCAAUUGAGUUAGGAUGAUAUAAAGUGAGUGACAUUUUCUGAAAAUGUUACAAAACUAUAUAUAUAUAGUUAUAUAUUUGUAUAUAUGUAUAGUUUUUGGAUACAUUACAAAACUAUAUAUAUAAGAUUGUGUGUAUAUAUAUAGUUUUCUAAAAGGACUUUGGUAAGAUUCAUUUUAAUGGUGGUGAAAGUUUCUAGGCAGUUUUCAUUUUAUCCGUGCCCUAUCUGUAAGCCCCACCUCAAAAUCGCUUUAACCAAAAGACCAGGGAUGCUGCUUAAUGACCUGCAGGCACAGGACAGCCCCUAACACCAAAGAAUUAUCUGAAUUAAUCCAGUUCAGAAUGUCAUUAGCGAUGAGGUUGAAAAACUCUGGCCUAGAAUUUAACGAACGGCAACUUGGUGAACUUGGUGACCAGGUGACAGUGAGACUGAAGGUCAAGCACAAGGCUGACGUAUAGAACUAAGUCUUAAUAAACACUCGUCUCAAAGGGCCCGGAACGCAUCGGCCAGUACUAUGCCAAAGGACCCCAAACUCAACAACGCCGCUAUAAAUAACGCUAAUAACUUUAAGUAGGGUAUGGCAUAAAUUGGGUUCAUCUUGGAUCUGAACCAAAGCAAUUUAAUUCCUGAAGUGCCAGAAUAAUUUUGCUCCGUUCAAGUCAUUUUCGUCCUGUGUUCCCUCAGGAGCCGAUGUGUGAGAUGACAGUGGGGUUUUUAGGAGGUCUUAUAACCGCUGCUUUUCCACAGGAGGGGAACUGGAGGGUAGGCUUUGGCCUCAUGGCUAAAUUAGAAACAGAACCGGAACCGGAAUUCAGCUUGCCCGAGUGUCGCUUGAUUCUCCAGUUAAACCCCUUCUCCUUUUCAGCCCAGGGCGCUGCUCCCUCUCCUGCAAGGAGACGGUCUCUAUUAACAGCAGAUUGUCUUGGCAAAGAGUAUCUCGAAGGUGAAGGAGGGUGGUGGAGGCUCGAGUCGCAGCAAAGUAUUCAAACGAGGAGCUUAGAGGAAGAACCUGUCACACUUGUCUGAGUUCUGACGUGAAAAUACAUUUCGGGGCCAAGACAAUUCAUCUGUCAGGCUUCCUGUUGGAAGAAUAUUUGCUCAGCUGUGAGAGGAGAGCUUCAGUGAACAUCCAAGAUAAUGAAAGUUUGAUAAUACUCAAUAUUCGGGAAAUAACCCUGAAUCGAGUAGGUUCUUAGUGUCAAGAUGCAAGAUGAUAAAGAACCUUGAGAAAAGUUCCUAGGGAGCAGGAAGCAACAGAGCCCACAUCAGUGGGGUUUUCUGACUGGGAGAUGAGGGUUCUGUCUUUCUCAGGAGGAGUCCUUGUUCCGUUCACAAUUUUUUGUGUGUGUUUGUUUCACCUGUUUUAAAAAACUAUAAAAC
RNAcentral lists this long non-coding RNA (3280 nucleotides) under Sus scrofa (pig). RNAcentral's name for it is "lncRNA (ENSSSCG00000056871.1)". Lineage: Eukaryota; Metazoa; Chordata; Mammalia; Artiodactyla; Suidae. The record is from RNAcentral.